RNAcentral lists this long non-coding RNA (2010 nucleotides) under Gallus gallus (chicken). RNAcentral describes it as "lncRNA (ENSGALG00010022519.1)". Lineage: Eukaryota; Metazoa; Chordata; Aves; Galliformes; Phasianidae. The record is from RNAcentral.
UUUAUCUAGUGAUCCCCCUUUUGGAGUAUUUGGCUAGCCCUGAUCCUUGGGUCUGCUUCUGCAGACGCUUUAGUGAGAAUGCCUCUGAAGUAAAAACUUUUAUCCCAUGGACACCAAACUGUUGAGAUGAAUUGAUUUUUGUGGAGGCAAUUUGGAAGAGCUGCAUACGGACUUAUAUUUUCUUUUGCUUCUCUGAGUACUCUGAAGACCUCCCACAUAUAGUGAAAUCUGCAUAGUCCUUCAGUGCCUCCCAGAUGUCUGAGAGGAGCGUGUCCUUGCCAAGGAAGGAGAACGGGGUGGCCAAUGAAUGUGGCUUGGGGUGGUGUUUCCACUCCAAAUAACCACAAGGCUCUUUGUCUAUGGUUCUCCAGGUGAAGUUGAAGGGAAGUAACGCUGUAGCCAUCAUCUACUCUCUGUUUGUUUAUCUACCCCUCUCCUGGUGUCAUGUCUUUCUUUUGUUGCAGGAAGCAAAGUUCUGGUAAGGGAAGUGCUGUGCACAUUGUGCAGUGUCUGUGCCCCUGUAUUAUCAGACCGUGUGGCAGCUUCUAACUAAAUUUUGGGUCCAAUAAUCAUAUUGGUGUCAUAGUAUCAGAAGAGAAAAAGGAAGAGAUCUAGCUAAGUCUUCUUGCCAAGCUGUCCCCUCCUCAAAUCUAUGUAAAGUCAGCAUGAUGGCAGCUGGUGGGAGUCAGAAGUGCACUUACUCAGAAUGUCUUUAGAUCUGAUUUCUUCUAUAUGGUGAGGAGGGCAAAAAAACAAAACAAAACACCACAUUGCAAGACAUUGAGAGAUAAUGAAACAGAGAAUUCUAUCAGGAGUUAAAGCUGUUUUAGGUUUUCAGCUCCAAAUGUGGGUUCUUUGUGGAAUUAUUUCCAGUAAUGACUCAUGGUGGGUGGUAAGUUGUGUAUUCAGCUCCCCAGUUAGUUGUCUUUGCGUGAGUUCCACUUUUAUCAAAUUAAAUAGAACAAAACUCAGGACAGAUGCUACCUGCUGAUCAGGAUGGUGUGGUACAUAUGCCACAGGAAUGCUGUGAUGAAACCACAAAGGCUGAAUAAUCCAGAUUGUGGGGUUUUUUUGUUGUUGUUGUUCCAGCUAGAGUAAAAAUUGACAUUGAUUUAAAUUCCAGCAUCAAACUAUCUUCAUGUCCUCCUGCACAACCUGAAAACAUUCGAAGUUGAUUGUAUUACAUCUUCAAAUUCCAAGGAGACUCGGUUAUUUGAAUAUACCAGCUUGACAUAAUCCAGAUCAUAGUAUCUCUGUCACCAGGAAACUUACUGGGGAGAAAAAGGAGAUAUGUAACAGAAACUCUUCUGUACAAAUGAGCAGUGAAAGAGAUGGCAAGUCAUUUUCCAUCUCAUAAUUCAACAUCUUUUUAGGGCACAGCAGAGUUGAUGUGUCAGCUCUCUGAACGUGUGCACUAGUUCUUCCCUUUUCAGUAUGGCUUUGUAAGUUCACACAUCUUCUGUGUCUCUUUGCUUUGAGAACAUAAAGGAAUUUCCUGACUCUGUGUGGUGCACAGCCUCUCCCAUGGAGGGAUCUGUGCACCUGCUUAUCCUGCUUCUAGUGCAGGGAUAUCAGGUGCUUUUUUCUUUAUCAGUGGAUGAUAAAGUGCAAGGACAGAAUGGCUAUGAUGUUACCAGUGGCUGUGAGUUAACUUUGCAAUAAGUUAAUAAUAUUUGGGUUUCAAAUCAGUCCAAGCUUCCCCCAAAAUGUAAAAUCUUCUCUAAACUUAUUUCACUGAAAUGCUUAAAGCAUCCAUCUCUCUGUCAGAACAGAUUCCCCUUUUCAUUGUGUAUACAUAUGCAAACUGUUUAAACCACACGUUAUGCCGAGGAUAUAGGAUGGAAAGAAAAGUGUGAAGACUGUUUUGCCCAUAUGUUGAGGAAAAAAUCUGCAGCACACAGUAAAGAAGCUGCUAACAGGAAAAGUAUCUGAAGUUAUGUUACAAGGUAAAAGACAAGACUGUGGCUGUGAAAACAAACUAAAACAAGAGAAGGAGAUAAAAUACCUUUU